AGAGUUUGAUCCUGGCUCAGGAUGAACGCUAGCGACAGGCUUAACACAUGCAAGUCGAGGGGCAGCGGGGGUGAUGGCUUGCCAUCGCCUGCCGGCGACCGGCGCACGGGUGAGUAACACGUAUGCAACCUGCCCGCCACAGGGGGAUAAGCGGAAGAAAUUCCGUCUAAUACCGCGUGACGCGGCACCGGGGCAUCCCGGUGCCGCCAAAGGGAUUACCGGUGGCGGAUGGGCAUGCGGCGCAUUAGCUAGUCGGCGGGGUAACGGCCCACCGAGGCGACGAUCGGUAGCCGGCCUGAGAGGGCGGACGGCCACAUUGGGACUGAGACACGGCCCAGACUCCUACGGGAGGCAGCAGUGGGGGAUAUUGCACAAUGGGGGGAACCCUGAUGCAGCGACGCCGCGUGGGUGAAGGAGUGCUCCGGCAUGUAAAGCCCUAUCGGCAGGGAAGAGGAAGGCGCCCUUUGGGCGCUUGGACGGUACCUGACUAAGAAGCCCCGGCUAACUACGUGCCAGCAGCCGCGGUAAUACGUAGGGGGCAAGCGUUAUCCGGAUUCACUGGGUGUAAAGGGAGCGUAGACGGCCAUGCAAGCCAGGGGUGAAAGCCCGGGGCCCAACCCCGGGACUGCCCUUGGAACUGUGGGGCUGGAGUGCGGGAGGGGCAGGCGGAAUUCCUGGUGUAGCGAUGAAAUGCGUAGAUAUCAGGAGGAACACCGGCGGCGAAGGCGGCCUGCUGGACCGCGACUGACGUUGAGGCUCGAAAGCGUGGGGAGCGAACAGGAUUAGAUACCCUGGUAGUCCACGCCGUAAACGAUGACUACUAGGUGUCGGGGGACGACAGUGCCCCGGUGCCGGCGCAAACGCAAUAAGUAGUCCACCUGGGGAGUACGUCCGCAAGGAUGAAACUCAAAGGAACUGACGGGGACCCGCACAAGCGGUGGAUUAUGUGGAUUAAUUCGAUGCAACGCGAAGAACCUUACCAGGGCUUGACAUCCUACUAACGAGGUAGAGAUACGUUAGGUGCCCUUCGGGGAAAGUAGAGACAGGUGGUGCAUGGUUGUCGUCAGCUCGUGUCGUGAGAUGUUGGGUUAAGUCCCGCAACGAGCGCAACCCUUAUUGUUAGUUGCUACGCAAGAGCACUCUAGCGAGACUGCCGUUGACAAAACGGAGGAAGGUGGGGACGACGUCAAAUCAUCAUGCCCCUUACGUCCUGGGCUUCACACGUAAUACAAUGGCGGCCAACAGAGGGAUGCAAAACCGCGAGGUGGAGCGAACCCCUAAAAGCCGUCCCAGUUCAGAUUGCAGUCUGCAACUCGACUGCAUGAAGUCGGAAUCGCUAGUAAUCGCGGAUCAGCAUGCCGCGGUGAAUACGUUCCCGGGCCUUGCACUCACCGCCCGUCA
Molecule: ribosomal RNA, 1401 nt
Filed under: uncultured bacterium
Lineage: Bacteria
Description: partial 16S ribosomal RNA
Rfam family: Bacterial small subunit ribosomal RNA
Source: RNAcentral